Sus scrofa (pig) is the source of this 5786-nucleotide non-coding RNA. Lineage: Eukaryota; Metazoa; Chordata; Mammalia; Artiodactyla; Suidae. The record is from RefSeq and is a predicted model, not a curated record.
GGCAACGCCGGUUCCUUAACCCACUGAGUGAGUCCAGGGAUCGAACCCGCAACCUCAUGGUUCUUAGUCGGAUUCGUUAACCACUGAGCCAUGAUGAGACCUCCUAGUCUGUCAGUUUUGACUUAUCUUUUUCAAAUAAAUUACCCUCAUGGCCUUUAACCAUCUUCUACUUAUCAAAGCAAAGGCCUUAGAGAUGAAAUAUUUCAUAAACACGUAUCAUUUAAAUAAUUUUUUAGUGUAGGAUCUUAGAAUUUGUUUGCAUUGCUUAAAAAUAUCCCAAAAUCCAAAAAACAAAUCUGUGUGUGCUGACAUGUAAGAUGAUCUCCCUUUCACUGAGAAGGAUGCUCAAAGAGCCUGCAGGAGCUGAGACUUGUCCAUGUACCUAAAGUGACACAGUGAGGUCUCACAUUAAGGUUAUAGAAAUCCCCGAUUGCCAGCAUGCUUCCACACUGCCGUGAAACUCUGUGAGUGACUUGGGACCAGUGCAAUGGGACCAAUCCCAUUCCAUAUUUACUGACCACCUAAUAUGUCUCAGACACUGCACUAGAGGCAUAGGAGAGCUAGAGUGGCAGUAAGACAUUAUGGAAUCAGAUUUGUAGUCCUUUUAGAGACUCACCUAAAAGUACCUGCAAUCUGCAUACUGCUGGCAUGCCAGUGAUAUUUUUGCCUAUUUUUAUAAUAGUGGAAAAGCUAUCGUCUACUCAUUUGGUCCAAUAAUCUUCCUUCCAUAUUUUAGAUCCUUCUAUGAUACCAUUUUAACUUCUUCUCUUUCUCCAUCUUUUCCUUCCUACCCACAUUCACCAAUUCUGUCUGCCUUACCAUGUACAGAGAGCCAGUAGUUCCAGGGAAAGUACUGUGCAAGGAUGAGGUUGCCUCUUGACCCAAGGGAUAGGGGAUACUUUGGGCUCUGAGGGGUAUUGGUCCUCUGGUUAUAACACCAUGGAGUUAAUUAUCAAGCAUCUCCAGGUACUUGGUAUGGAAACAGGUAAAUUACACAUAUAAUCUCCUUUAAUUUGCUCCUAUGCAUGCAAUUUAUUUGUGCACAUCAGUUCUUUGCUUAUAGUGCUGCUGCUACCAAAAUGAUGAGUGUCAUGAAACUAAUGAAAAGCAAAUCAUCCUGAUGUCUAACUUUGAAGGCACUUUCUCAGUCUUCUCGGUUUUAUGUAGAUCUCACUUAUUUUAAUGCAAACAAGUCUAAAUGUAAGAUAAAGUCAAAAUGGCUAAGUGGGGGAAAAGCCUUGAAAAGAGAAAAUGGACAUCAUGAGGCUUGUGCUAGACUAACACUGGGCGAAUUUCACCAACACAUGUUAUAGUAUAGUAGAUAAAGAGGCAGCAUGAACACUAAGCCCAAAUACUUGGUAACUCAGCCCACUCUGUUGUUCUGAGGCUGAUCUCUCAUGGGAUUGUAUUCCUUUCCUUCUGUCUUGAGCCCUCUUUCCCUGAAAACAUCUCUUUUUUUUUUUCUGCCACUUUUUUCUUCAUUUUUUAAAAACCAGCAUGGGCUUUGGGGAAGGUUUCCUCAGCAACUCUGGGAAAAGUUGCGUUCAAUUACAGAACCAUAGACAUUUAGAGUCAGGAGGCCAUUUGGAAAUCAUCUAAUUCAUCUUCUUCACCUCAACUGCUAAGGACCCACAGUCUAGCAAUGUAGGAAUAGAAAUGUCUGGAGUGAUGGAAAUUUUCCAACUCUGUAUUGUCUGCUACAGUAGCCACUAGCCACAUGUAGCUAUUGUACACUUGAAAUGUGAUUACCAUGACUGAAUUCUAAAUUUUAUUUACCUGUAAUUUAAUUUAAAUUCAGAUAGUCCCAUAGGGAUAGAGGCUACCAUAUUGAAUAGCGGAGGUCUAGAAAGUUCUUGGAUUGUACCCAGUGUCACACUGUAAAGUGGAAGAACUCACCUGAUUAUAUAGGCCUUUGAAUCAGCUCAGGGGUCUUUAAUGGUUUCAAAUACUUCAGUAAAUCAACCAACUUAGCCCAGAAUGCAUAAUUAAGGUGCAGGGGAGAAGUAUUGGCUGCCUUGGCAUUGACAAACCAAAAAAAAAAAAAAAAAAAGCAAAAUCAGGGUUGUCAGAAUCUGGCAGGGCAAGAGGAUUAGGGGUCCAUCAAUAGCAGCAUCUUGUAAUAUGGUUAUACCAGAUAUGAUGCUCAUAUGCAUGAAAAGAUAAAGAUGUUUGGAGGCAUUUUAAACUUUCUGUAAAGACAUCUGUAGUGGAAGCUAAAAUGUUUAUAGAACCAUACACAUUAGGCAGUGGGGGGGGGCAAGAUAGACAGAAUUGAAUGUGUAUAAACAUGUUAAAUUUAUCUGGAGCAGGGAGUUUAUAGACAAGCUCCUAAAAAUGACAAGUUCAGGGACAGAUAAGGAGUUCACUGGUUGCCUAGUGGUUAAGGAUCCAGUAUUAUCAUUGUUGUGGCCUGGGUUCGAUCCCUGGCCUGGGAACUUCUGCAUGUCAUGGGGGUGGCCAUACCCUGGCAGACUGGGGCAAUGUGUCAGGAGAGAUAGGCACAGAGGGAGUUAACACUUCCCUGAAUUUUAUUAUUUUGAUUUGUGUUUGUGCUUUUUUUUUAAAUAAAUAAAAGCAAUUUCUAUCAGCUUUAUGGGUUUGAAAUUAGGCAGAAAAUUAUCAGAAAAAAAUUUUUUAAGUGGAAGGAUGCCCGGAAAGAACACUGAAGGCACAAUUAAGUAGAUCACUGCUUUUCCUCAUGUAUUUAGCCAGACAUACAAAAAUAUUUACCCAUAGAAUCAUUUGUAUUUGUCUAAUAUAUAAGGCCAGAGAUUUUUUGUCUGGCAAUCUCAGUCUCUGGCUGCAGUAAGUUAGAUCUUCUGUAUAAUUAUUCAAGGCAGUCAAAAUAAGAUAAAUCAGGCUGAAUAUAACACAAAUGCAAACACAGCUCUUAACACACUCCAGUUGAAGAACAGCAAAUAUAAAGGCAGUUGUGAUCUUGGCUCUUGAAAUAUUCCAGGAAAGAGUGUUCUUUGUACAGGGUCUACUCUGGCUAUUUGACACACAUGCUGAGAAUUGAAUGAGGUUAGAACCAAGAAGGAGCUCACUUAUGAGAGUUAAGGGAAGUAAGGCAGAGAUGCCCAGGUGGUGUCAAUUAAAGUCCAUUUGGAGGGCGGGACAGAGGCUAUCAGGUGGCAGGUUUUACUGGGAAAGAACACAGCUCAGGAGCUGGGAGCUGCAGAGUCUGCUGAUCCCUGGGCUGCAGCAACGGCCAUUGCAGCAACUGGUGCCUCCUUCUUUCUUUGUUUCUAGUCCUUUAGUGCUUGUGAAGCUGCUUCUCCAAGUCAUGCAGCAGUUUCUGGAAGAAGGAGCUCCUCCAGUCCAAGUGGUAUCCCAGGCAUUCCUGGGCCUCAUCCUGAAGUGAGGCCCUUCGCUCGGGUUGGCAGGCUCCUUCUCCCUCUGCUCCUGCUGCUGCGACUGUUCUCCCGUUCUGUGGCAUCUUGGCCAUGCACUCUACUAUGAGCUGCUCCCUGGCUUGACGCUUCUGCUCCUCUGCCAGCUGCUGCACCCUCAGCAACUCCUGCACAGCCACCGGGCUUGGGUAUCACUGGCUCUCCUCGACCUUCAGCUUCUGCAGCUGUUUUCAUGGUGGACACAGAGAAGCAAAGGCCACCCGGGAGAUGGCGUUAUGCUGUGCCAACUGCUUAGCCACAUAGAGCAGCCCCAGCUUUCAGCAAGGGGUGAUUGGUCAUCUUGGGCAGGCCACCAGUGCCCCAGCGAGCAGUGUGGAGGCAGAGGCACUGUGGCCACAGGCGCUCUGGUCCCGUGUCCCAGGCAGGCUGUGCACUGGCCACGUGAGUGGCACUGUCUAGGCCAUUAAAGUGCUUUCUUGAACUCAGUUUUGAGUAUCCUGGAAGUCUGGCUGUGGAUAAGAAGAUGGGUAGUUGACCUUCUGAAGAGCUGCUGUACAGACACUGAAGGGCCAGCCUCAGAAUGUGGUGAGUCCACAGAUCCUAAGGAGGCAUGGAUAUCUGGGUGAAUGAUAUGGUUCAUGGACUGGAGAACAAACAAGACUAAAUUGAAAACUGGACCUCAAUCAACCAGUUGAAGAAAAGCCAUGCCCAACGCAGUUUCUCCUCAUUUGCACUGGAGAAUAGAACAUCUUUGAUGGACACGUGUUACAUGGAAACAUCUUUGUGAUAUGCUUAGUUGGGGCACAAUAAUAAAUGCAAAUGGAUCGAGUGUCUUUCAUAACAUUCAGGACAAAUGCUGAAGAGCCCUGUUUAAACAGACAAACAAGCAAGAUCAAGAAACCACUGUUUAAGAUUCAUACAAUGACUCGAUACCUUAUCCCUAAGGAUAUGCAUCAUGAAGAGCAGGUGAAUUCCAAAAUUAUGUAACACUUACAUAUCAACCAGAAGACAGUUGCAGGGUAUGAGUGUUCCUGUUGCUCCACAUCCUCAUCAGCAUUUGAUGUCAUUGAUUUGGAUUUGGGCCAUUCCAAUAGGUUGGCCAAGCUCUCCUGCACCUCUGCCAUCCCUGAGAAGAACAUGCCCUGGCUAGCAAAAUUCCGAAGAGGAUAAACACAGAGAGAGCAGUAUCUCCCAGCUCACUCACUGACCUGCAGCUUGAAGCAGAACCACCUUGAUAAGCCUUGUCAUGGGGAGCAAACCCAAAGGUUCUGCAGAUCCACAGAAAUGGAGGAUUGCUACUUCAAGCUACUGAGUUUGGAGAUAAGAAAACUGAGACUCAAGAAGUUAAAAUGACCCAAGUCCACUUCAGCUCUUAAGAGGUAGGAUUCUAAUCCAGUUUUUCAUUCAUUUAAGAAUUAUAUGAAAAUCCAACUAUGUGCCAGGCGCUGAGCUGGGCAAAGGAGACACAACACUGAACAAGGGAGGUAGAGUUUAUUUCUUCUUAAAACAUACACUAAAAAAAGAUACAGCAAAAAUGAGCAUGAAAUCACUACUCAUUGUACUAUUAGAAGUCCUAAUGUUCCAAGAUAAAAGGUCAGCAUGCUCUGAGAGGGGAAAACACAGACACCUGAUUGCAAUUAUGUGGCCCUUAUAAAGAAGAUACACGUGCAUUUAAAUGGAGGCAAGAAGGCGUUGUCUGGCUCUGACUCCACACUUCACUUUCAACAUUAUACGCAGACCAUCUUGGAACAAUGAUCUGACAAGAGCACAAAGAAAUCUCAGCAUUGAAAUAUUAAGUCCUCAUCUUUGUCUUUCAUUUUAAAAUGAAACUACUGGAUACUAGUCAAAAUCUACUUCAUCUUUAACAGUAUCCAGAAUAAUAGGCCAGAAUAUAAUUGCAAAAGCCUCCUUUAGAAAGCACUCUGGAUUCUGAAACCAGAUGGACAGAUGUCCUCCUGAAGCCCAUGUAACACUUUGUCUGGUCCACUCUUCAGACACUUAGCCUGACUUGGGUAAAAUUAGUUCUACCAAGUUAUAUUGUCCAUGAGGGCAGAGGUCAUGAUGUUUCCACUUUGGCAUUUUGAAUGGUGUGCUGCUUCAACACUUUAAUUGGUGCAUGGACGUAUAUGAUCUGUGCAUGGGAAAAAUACGUAAGACACAGCACAGUGUAGCAUAAAAAGGAGGGACGGUGGUGUCUGGUUGACCUGGAUUCACGUUCUCAUCCUAGCCUGUCUCACUUAAACUUCUCUGAGCUUUGGAUUCCCUGUCUAUAAAAUGGAUAUUAGCAUCUCCCUUACAAGGUUGUUAGCUUGUUGUAGAAGAGAAACACAAUCUACAUGAGAAUGAGAUGGAUUGAUUCAACUGCUCACAAAUCAGUAGCUGUCAUUAAAGUCUUUUUUUGUUUGUUUGUUUGUUUUGUUUUUUAGUGCCUCA